GAUCCAACGGUCCAAAUUAAGGAGCCGUUGAAAUCGAAUGGACCGUGGGAAGCCACGUGGCUUCCCAACGGUAACUGAGACCACUGCAAAAGUGACUGCUUUUCUGAAAAGUUGUCGGGCUACGCGCCCCCACGCGGGAGUGGGGUGCACGCGCUUGACAGAAAAAAAUAAAAAAAGGGUUUGGAGCUUGGGCUCACAGGCUGUCAAAAAUUGACAGGCCUUCUGCUCAGUCCUUCUCCACCAGCUCGGGCUCUUCAAGGCUAGAGUUGAUUCACAGGGCCUCGGGCCCUUUCCUCUCCCCUGUCCCCCAGCCUACAUGCAUGGCUGGAGCUGCUCUCAUAGUGACACAUAAGCCCAUUCAUCAACUCUUGAAGCUUGUAAGUAAAGUAUAAACCAUCCUAUUUGGCUUUUUACCAAAAUGAACUUCGUAAUCUUAAAACUUGAUUAACCAGAAAAGCUUUUUAUUUAUGCUCAAUGUAUGUUACUAUGUAUAGAUAUAGGGGUUUUUUUUUCUUUCAAACAACUAAUUUCACUAAAAUUAAAACACAUUAAUACAAAGUGAGGCAAAUUCAAAAAUAAUUCACAAGACUAAAGUAAAAGUGCAGCCCAUUACAAAAAAAAAAAAUAAUAAUAAAACAAUCCUAAAAAAUGAGCCCAUAACAAUGCUUAAGCUGACAUCUCUAGAUCUGGAAACGAGAGCCAGUGUCCUCCACCAAAAUAGUAGCACCACCAUCACCAAGCCUCCGCCACCGGAAAGAAGAACCAACUAAUCGAAAGGAUGAACAGAAAAUGGGGGUAGGUAAGCCACCCACCCUAAAAGCAAUCCCAUAAUCCUACAAAAUAGUGCAAGUUUCACUUUAGAGGCCACCAAAACCCAAAGCACGCGUCCAAUUGAAGUCCAAAGAGGAAGAACUCGAGAAGACGAAUAGCCGAAAUAGGUGGGGCAGUAACUCGUGGCUAGGAACAACAAUUUGGAAAGAAAAAUGCUUGAAGCUUUAAUCCGGGACAAGGUCUUCCAUCAAUUGAGACAAAGCCCUUGUAAAUUGAAAAAAGUUCAAGGAAAAUGAGAGAAGCUCAAAGAAAAACUACCAAAAAUCAAGGGCCACAGAUAAAAAAAAAAAAGAAAAAGAAAGAGAUGGAGAAUAGGGAAGAAGGAGAAGGGGAUUAAGGAAGAGGGAGAUGAGGUUGCCACUGACCCCACUCGAAAGGAGAGGUCGACUGCUGAAGGUAAGAUUGGGUUUGGGGGUUCUUUACUUUGUGUGAGAGAGAGCGGCACUGUGGUAUCAACAAACUUCUGUGCAUAUAGGGUCUCUAUGUUGACAAAUUGUUUAUCUCAACGACAUAUAUCAUACCUGAAAAUAUUAAUUAACAUGAUAUGUCAUACUUUGCAUGUCUGUUUGCAUGUCUGUUAAUAUUUUAGAGAAAACGAUAUUUUUGUGUAUAAUAUAUGCUCUGAGCCAGACGUGUAUAUAGUUGUUGAUGAGUUUCACGUGCUUUAAACCUAGUAAGUAAUUGUUCUAUAUGUUAAGUAGCAAAUCACAUAAAGAAAAACAACCACCCAUGCGUGCAUGUUAUCUAUAGCUACAGUCAAAUUGUUGACACUCGCUUUUGCUUUAUUUACACCACUGCUAUCAUAUAUGUGGCUGGGUUGGAGGGUAAUUACCAAACCCAGCUAUGCAGAAAUCAAAUAGCAGGUCUCCGACACCCUGUCAUUCUCUUUUUUAGAACAUACGCAGAGGGUUCCAUGUCUAAUGUCUUUGUGGGUUUUCAGAAGAUAUUCAAGAUGUAGGGAUUCACGGAUCCCUAUAUCUUAAAUUUGUAUAAUAUGCUCAUGGGUGUGCUCUGUUUGUUUUCAUGUACAAAUUGGUGAAUGUUGAACAAAAUGCCUGCAUGUUCGAUCUGUGAUAUGGGCUUGAACAAAAGUACCUCUGAGCUGCUUGGAUCCUCCACCCCCAAACUUAGAAUGAAAGGUUAGCAAUAGCUUUCUUUUUACUUACUUUCAAAAUUAUUUUAUAAGUAACUUUUGUAUCUUUGAAUCGCUUGAUUCAUCGUUGCAAUUUUAUAUAUUACAUAAUCGCAAGGCUUUUGAUAUCAUUAACUGUUGGUUUUGGUACUGGCAAUGGAAACCUCAUCAGAUUUUGUCUGCAUUGAUUUGGGUAUUUUUACAGGAACAAAUAUUUAUUUUUUGUUGUAUUUAGAUCAGAAUUAUUAAUUUAUUUAUGACAUUCAAACUCUCUGAGAUUUCGAUCUAUAUUUGGUGGUUUUGUGAUUCAUGGUUGUAUUCCAUUUUUUGGAUUGUUGGCAUGUGAAUCCUAAGUUUAGCAAGCAGUACAAUAUAGAUUAGGCAUUAAAACAGAUGCAACUACAUUCAUGUUUUUUUUUUUACCUACUGUUGCCUAUAUUUUUUUUGUUCUUUUGAGAAGUGCACAGAAAAUGUAGUAUUAACGAAAAGACGUAUGAAUAUGAUAAUUGUAUAACAAAGGUGUGCAUAAUGGAUAGUACAGACAUUGCAUAGCUUUAACAUGUGUUUGCACUUUCAUGAUGUGGUUUAGAUUUCUGUUCCAUAUUAAUUUCGUAUUUCAUAUCAUAUUAUGCUUAAAGAAUGUUGUGUUAAUUAAAAUAGGAGAAAACAUUUAGAGCUCUAGCGGUUCUGAUGAUAUGGUGUUCUGGAUGUUCCAGUGGAUGUUGAGGAGUUUUAAGUAAAAGAAAAGCCUUAUGCAGAAGAGUUAGAAUAUAAUUGCUAUAUAUGGAAGAGUUGGAAUAUAAUUACUAGGACAGAAUUACAAACAAUUUUGUAGUGCACCUGGAAGACGAGUUUUCAUUCCUUUUUGGCUGUUCGUUAUUGGUAUAUAAAUUUUAACUACUAUUUUUCCCCUUACCCAAUAUAUUAUGUUCAAUUCUGGCAUUCCCCUCAAAACAUUGUUUCUGUGUCAUUUUUCUCUUUUUUCUGUGUUCAGCUCACACACCUUACGUAUAUAUUGGAGACUAUGAUACAGUCAGAGAAUCGCAACCUACAUUGCUUGCUUCCUCAGGUGCGUACUUCCAUUUUAAGAGUAAAAUCUGUUUGGGUUAAAACUUGAACUUUGGGCUCAAGAAGGAGUUGGCCCAAAAGAAAGAAGUCUAGAAGGAGAAAAGCCCGAAGCCCAGCCAAAGCCCAGAAAGCAGGAGAGGCCCUUUUCUGACUAGGUGCAGACCAUUUGAACCACUUACUCACCUAUUUAGAGGUCAAGUGGUAUAGACCAGCCAGCUAAUCAGCCUAAAAGCAUUUUACAGUGGCAAUACAAGUAAAAAGCUGAUGAGUCAUUGCCCUUCAAGUUGCAUUCGGGCAAGAUUACUACUACAGGAGGCCAAGCCAAAAUGUCUAUAAAAGAAGAAAGAGAAAACAGAGAUAAGGACACUCAAUCAAACAAACAAAUACAAGCACAAACUCUACUCAAACCAAAUUUGCUUUCAACGAAGUUGUAGUCAGCCCAAGCCUUCAUCCAUUUUGGGAUCAACCCUCACCCAAAGUCUUUGUAAUAGCUCUGCUACCUUGUCUAAAACUUGUUGUAGUAUCGAUUUCCUUCGGUAAACCCAUCUCCCUACCCCUCUUUCUAAAGUUCUCAAACCCCUUGAUAAACCACAAAGAUAAGAAGUUGCAAGACGAUCAACCUUGCCCAACCCUCUUUGUUUUUGUCUUUUCAUUCAGUAGUCUAGCAAUAUGUUGUAUACUUCCAGUUGUAUCCAAGUUAUUUAUGGCAAGUUGAUGAUUAAAAAGGCUCAUCAGUUCUUGAAUCCGAUUUAAAUAUGUCUUCACAUAUUAAAUCAGAUCUAAGUUCUAAGCCUUCGGGCAUGUAACAUUGAUCAUUUAAAAGUCCUUGGUCUCAAGGCAUAAAAAGAACCUUAUGUGGACUUAACCCAUCCACGACAGUCUUUGAUAAACAAGAAGUCCGAAGUUACUUGGGGCGCAAGUAAUCGACCUAUCCCUUAGUGUUAUUUCUAUUAUAUUAUGAUUAUCGAAGAGCGUUUGAGCAUAGAAGGAAUUCUGAUGGGAAGCCUCAAAGCCUACACCUAAGGCCUUACAAAGGCAAUUAUUUGGAUUCUUUCUGCUUGUCGGGCUCGGGUAAUCAGAAGUAUAAUAGUCAUAAUACUUAUGUAAUCAAUGCAAGAAAACAUUAUAUAUUCAAGUACUGGGUUAGUUCCUGAUUGAAAGCCUCAAGGCCUACACCUAAGGCCCCACAAAGGAACCUUUCAUAACUAAAACAGCCUCUCGGGUAUAUAUACAACUAAAACUCAACAUCCGUUUUACAUCUGCCAUGCUGAAGAUGGCAGUGGCACGCUUGAGCACUUAAAAGUUAAUCUUGAUUGUGAGCCUCAAAGCCUAUACCUAAGGCCCCACAAAAGCACCUUUCAAAGUUAACUUUGUCCUUCUCUUUCAACCUUGCCCGACAAGCCCGCCAGUGAAGCAGAAGCCCGACAAAAAGCAUCAACCGGCGCCAACCUCUGGGGGAGCUGUGUGCUCGUCAGCUAGGAAACAUCCCCAACGGAAAUUCUAGCCACGAACAUAGUUUUGGCACGCCCGGUGGGAUUCACUUGAUCAAAAGAAAUAUGUCAAAACGACCAGAAGAUUUGCAAACUGCUUUGUUACAAAUGCUGCAAAGACUGGAGAACACCUCCGCAGGUUUCAGACGGGAAGCCGACCUGGUUAUAAGACCGACUAUUCCUAUAUCUUUACCUCAACUUGGGGAAAAAGAUGAUAGGGAAAAAGAGAGACUUAAAACCAACCAGCCAAACGAAGCAGUGAUGAACAAACAUGCGGAUCCCUUCUCAGAGGCCCCAAUAAAUAUGAUCAGUAUGGCAUGGGCUGAGAAAGGGAAAGAAAAGGUCACAAAGGAAGAAGAAAGAAGAUUGGUUGACAACUCCACAAAAGGGGUGAUCAAAUUGCCCGAACAUCCAAGAGCAGCCAUAAUCAAAAGGAUGGUUAUGUGCAGUAAAUGCCAAUGCGAGUGUGAGCUCGAAAUACCACCUGCAAGAGUCCUCAUGGAUCAUGAAUUGAUCAGGAGGAAUGAAGAAAAAAAAAAGGCCCAUGAGAAAGUUAGGCGGACUACAGGAAGGGAUACCUCCCGAAGUGUUUUUCAGCGGUUAGGAGGCGAUUCCUAACCUAGAGCUUUAUCAGAGAUAUUUCGCAAUCAUGAAGUUUCUGAGGAGGCAGAAGAUAAAGAUGCCAAAAAGCCAAAAGAGAGAGGUGUAGAGCAUUCUUACUAGGGCCAUAUGGGAAGAGAAGUCAAGAGGAAUGAUAAGAUAACAAAUCCUGUCAAAAAAGAUAACCUUGCCCGCCUCGGGCGAAAAUGGUACGUGGUUUAGAAAAAUGGACAGCCUGUUAAACAAAUGGGAGCCUUCAUGGUCAGAAAGGUCUAAAGGCAACACAAAGCCUACAUGAACUCCUUAAAAAUUCCUGCGACGUUUGAAGCAUCCAAGAAUCAAAAGUUGGAGAAAACGUCAUCUGGGGGGAGUAGUCAGUUCCGCUGGAGAAGUAAAAAAGAGGUGGAAAAGGCUAAUAGCAAGACAGAAGGUGAGGGAAACCAUGUGCCGCAAAGCCUACACCCUGGGAAAUAUAGGAUCUUGAGGAAAGCUCAAGAAGAUAUAAUCAUGGUACUAACUCCCGGAUGGAAGACAGAGCCUAUUUGUUUUGGAACUGUUUCGCCUGAAAGAAAACCACCUUCUCUAUCAUUAGUGGAUCCUUUCGAUAAAGUUCCAAAGCAAACACCGUAUUCGGGCAUGAAUCAACAUGAGGGGGCACCAGAACCACUACUUCCAGCAGAUGCGAUGGCUUGGUUAGAUGAGUUCAUGGACCAGAUCGGGAGCAAGAAAGAAGAACUGCCAGAGCCUAGCAAUUUUCAUAUCAACAUGGCGUAUGUGUUAUCCGCCAUGUUUGGUGCCAAACCUAAUCAGCCCUCCACUAUGGAAGGUGACUAUGUGACAACUGAGCCAAUGAUGGCCCAUGUUAGUGUUGAGGUAGCUGAAGAGGGAGAGUCGGGAAGAGCUGAAUCAUCCGAAGCAUCCAAUGAUGGUCCUUUAAGGAUCUACAUAGAUAAGAUGGUGUUCAACCGCCCAAACAUUUCGAUUGCCAAUCAUCUUAAGCCAAUAUACGUUAUAGCCCAUUUGGAAGGGAUGCCUUUCAAAAGAAUUUUAAUUGAUGGAAGAUCGGCGGUUAACGUACUACCAGCCAAACAAAUGAAAAAGUUGGGGAGAGGCACAAAAGAUCUUAUUCCUACAGACCUCACGGUUUCAAGCUUCUCGGGCGCUAUCACCAAGACUCAUGGGAUAUUGCCUUUAGAAGUGGAUUUGGGGUCUAAACAGAUCAUGCUGGCAUUCUUUGUGGUGGAUUGCACUUCCACCUAUGGAGCCUUACUUGGAAGAGAUUGGAUCCAUCAAACUCUUGCCAUACCCUCCACUCUACAUCCACAAGUGGCUGUUUAUCAUGAGGCAGGCACAGAGGAACUAGGUUUUUAGGAGAUGAUAGAGGCCGAAUCACGGCCAUUUCUCCCUACAACCAGUGUUGCAGAAGCAAGUUUCUACAAUCCCAACGUAGGAAUUUUGAAGUGUUCAGAAGCAGAUGAAAACGGCCGCCCUACCAAGGUGACGACCCAAAAGCUUCUAGAACAAGGAAUGCUCCUUACUAGAGAGGAGUGGGAUAGACCUUGUAUUAUCCCAACGCCCCUACACCAUCAAUGACAAAACAAAAAAGGAAUGAUCAGGUAAUGGCAGUCAGAUCCCUGAUUAAAAGGCUGUUGGUGUAUGGGAAAGGAAUAAGGCAAGAAAGGGAGCUCUUAGACAAAGAAGAGCAGGAAUGGCAGGUAGGAGCUUCGACCAGCCAGGAUGAAAGCAGGGAGGAAUCUUGUAGAUAAGAAUUGGAAAGGGUCAUACAAAUGGUCGAGUGCAUAUAUGGCCUAGAUGGGCCAGAUGACUUGCCCGAGAGCCUAGAGUUAGUCAAAUUUUUUUGUGCUGAACCUGAUAAGCCACCACUAGAGGUUCAGGAUCCUUUGGAAGUUAUUGAUCUAGGGACAGAGGAAGAUCCAAGACCAAUACAAAUUAGUGGUUUAUUGGAGAUUGAUGAUCGGGCAAAGAUUAUCUCUCUUUUGCAAGAAUUUAAAGAUUGUUUUGCUUAGCAUUAUACUGAGAUGUCAGGUUUAGAAUCAACCUUGGUAGAACACAUAAUGCCCAUCAAGGAGGGAUAUAAACUUGUUAAGCAAGCACCGCGAAUGAUGUUAAAGGAGAUAGAAGAGAAGGUCAAAGAAGAGAUUGAGAGGCUAGUAAAAGCUGGAUUCAUUAGACCAGCCAAAUAUGUAGAGUGGUUAGCCAACAUUGUACCCGUUUUAAAGGCCAUAACAAAAGCAGUACAAUGUUGCGUUGAUUACAAAAAUAUCAAUGGCGCUACACCAAAAGAUGAGUAUCUCAUGCCCAUGGCAGAUCUAUCCAUAGAUGCAGUAGUAAAACACAAAGUCUUAUCUUUUAUGGAUGGAAAUGCCGGGUAUAAUCAGAUAAAGAUGGCCCAGGAAGAUAUACAUAAAACAGCUUUUAGGUGUCCCGGGCAUGUGGGGGCAUAUGAAUAUCUGGUCAUGCCAUUCAGGCUCAAGAAUGCUGGUGCAACCUACCAAAGGGCAAUGAAUGCCAUCUUUCAUGAUCUGAUUGGCCAUAACAUAGAGGUGUAUAUUGAUGACAUCGUGGUGAAAUCCAAGACAUAAGAGCAGCAUCUGAUAGACCUCAAGCAAGCAUUGACAAGAAUGAGGAUCCACAAAUUGAAGAUGAAUCCAAAGAAGCGUGCGUUUGGAGUAAGAGCAGGCAACUUCUUGGGAUUCCUGGUUCAUCAAAAAGGUGUAGAAGUGGACAAGAACAAAUCGCGGGCAAUAAUGGAGUCGCCUUCACCUACCAACAAAGUGCAACUCUAGAGGUUGCUAGGCAAAAUUAAUUUCUUGAGAAUAUUCAUUGCCAAUUUAGCAGGCAAGAUCUAGCCGCUGACUCAUUUGCUAAGACUAAAGGAUAAAGAGAAUUUCGAAUGUGGACUACCACACCAAAGGGCUUUCGAUAGUAUCAAAGCUUAUUUGACUUCUCCACCAGUGUUGGUACCACCUCAAAGGGGAAAACCCUUAAAGCUAUAUAUCUCUGCUUCAGAGAAAUCAAUCGGGAGUUUGCUAGCUCAAAACAAUGAAGGCGGGAAAGAGCAGGCAGUGUACUACCUCAGUAGAAUUCUGACCAAGGUAGAAACAAGAUAUUCUCCAGUGGAAAGAUUGUGCCUAGCUUUGUAUUUUACUGCCAGUAAGCUGAGGCAUUACAUGUUACCUUGUCACGUGCAUAUCAUUGCCAAGACAGAUGUGAUAAAGUACAUGUUAUCAAAACCAAUGCUAACAGAAAGGAUUGGGAAGUGGAUUCUAGCAUUAUCAGAGUUCAGCUUUCAAUAUGUACCCCAAAGGGCAGUCAAAGGCCAAGCAAUUGCUGACUUCUUGACGAAGCAUCAAGAGUCUCCAGAUGAGAUAAUCAAUAUCCCGGGAACCCUGGAAGUUACUAGUGUUUGGAUCCCGCCAAGCAAAGAUAUUUCGGGCAAAGAGGAGUGGAUCCAACAAGAGAUAAGAAGAGUGACUGGCUGAUAGAAACAUAUUUAUGCGACUGAGUUAGCUUGUUCUCAUGCAUUUAUGUUGUUAUUUCUUAGUUAAUUAUGUAUUUUAAGCUAUUUUCGUGUGUUUGUAGGUCCAAAGGGUUAAUGUGGCAAAGAAGUGCAUUUUGGAGCAUUUUGGAGCAUUUUUGGGCAUGGAAUGGAUAACUUAUGCUUGGAGCAAAAGGAAUGGAUGAAAUUUGAAGUUUGUGCAUCAUCCUCUCCCUAUAAAUAACCAUUUUAGCACACUCAUUUUACACAACACAUUCACUUACCACUACUUCCACUCAUUUCACCCAACACAUCCACUCCUUUCAACCACCCAACACAUUUACCUACCACUACAUCCACUCAUUACCACCACCCACUACAUCAUCUUCCUAGUCUAUAAAUACAUUCAUCCACCCUUCAUCAAAGAGAGAUCAAUCAAAACACAUCCAUUCAUCUUCACAUCCAUUCCUUCAUACAAACAAACCUUUAAACACUUACCAACAUCUUGUGUCGUAGCAAAAAAAGGGAAGGAAAGUGCUUAAAUGUGCUUUCUAUCCAACUUAGAUCGUUGGAGCGUUUAGGUGUUUUCUUUCUUUUGUUUCCAAUGUUUAAAUUCAUUUUACUUUGUUUUGUUGUGAAGAUGAGUGGUUAAACCCCUCUUGGCUAUGGGUGAUUUCAAAGCCAUGAUUAUGUGUGUAAUAUGAUUUGAUAAAUUCCAGUUAUGAACUCUUGAAUCGUAAAUGCAAUUGGCUUAACUAUUUGAUUGAUAACUUAUUUGUAUUUGUUGAUUAAGGGUCG
Molecule: long non-coding RNA, 9418 nt
Filed under: Malus domestica (apple)
Lineage: Eukaryota; Viridiplantae; Streptophyta; Magnoliopsida; Rosales; Rosaceae
Description: long non-coding RNA (MDOM_LNC011980)
Source: RNAcentral